CAGCCGCCGCGGUAAUACGAAGGGGGCUAGCGUUGUUCGGAAUUACUGGGCGUAAAGCGCACGUAGGCGGAUAUUUAAGUCUGGGGUGAAAUCCCAGAGCUCAACUCUGGAACUGCCUUUGAUACUGGGUAUCUUGAGUAUGGAAGAGGUGAGUGGAAUUCCGAGUGUAGAGGUGAAAUUCGUAGAUAUUCGGAGGAACACCAGUGGCGAAGGCGGCUCACUGGUCCAUUACUGACGCUGAGGUGCGAAAGCGUGGGGAGCAAACAGGAUUAGAUACCCCCGUAGUCCCUGUCUCUUAUAC
Molecule: ribosomal RNA, 301 nt
Filed under: uncultured bacterium
Lineage: Bacteria
Description: partial 16S ribosomal RNA
Rfam family: Bacterial small subunit ribosomal RNA
Source: RNAcentral